Molecule: long non-coding RNA, 4304 nt
Organism: Cyprinus carpio carpio
Lineage: Eukaryota; Metazoa; Chordata; Actinopteri; Cypriniformes; Cyprinidae
Source: Ensembl
GCAGUAUUGCUACAGGUGAGUCAAGUGCUGAAACUUGAGCAAAGGAUAACUAGUCCUUGAAGCUGUUGAACCAACAGUGGAUUAACAAUUUUCAUUUUACAGUUCAGUGUUCAAAAUAUUUACUCAAGGAUAAGACUCUUUUCUUCACCACUUGACACUUUCCACAAUGGAGUGGAGAGCUUUUGUUAUAAUAUGGAUUUUUAUCUCAAUAGCCAAGUCGCAAACAACUACCAUUUCAACUACCUAUGAGAGUACAACUCUUAGUACAGUUGAAAUAUCAACACCAACACUGCAACCAUCCACAAACACAAUAUCUCCUGAUGAAACAUCCACCACUAGUGCACUAGAAACAUCUACAAUAACAGAGACUUCCACAAUCAAAACUCCUUAUGAAACAUCCACCACUAGUGCACCAGAAACAUCUACAACAACAGAGACUUCCACAAUCAUGACUCUUGCUGAAACAUCCAUCACUAGUACAAUAGAAAUAUCUACAACAACAGAGACUUCCACAAUGACGACUCCUGAUGAAACAUCCACCACUAGUUUAGCAGAAACAUCUACAACAACAGAGACUUACACAAUCACAACUCCUGAUGAAACAUUUACAACAACAGAGACUUCCACAAUCAUGACUCCUGCUGAAACAUCCACCACUAGUUUAGCAGAAACGUCUACAAAAACACAGACUUUCACAAUCACAACACCUGAUGAAACAUCCACCACUAGUUUAGUAGAAAAAUCUACAAUGAUAGAGACUUCCACAAUCACAACUCCUGAUGAAGCGUCCACCACUAGUGGAGUAGAAACAUUUACAACAACAGAGACUUUCACAAUCAUGACUCCAGAUAAAACAUCCACCACUAGUGCACCGGAAACAUCUACAACAACAGAGACUUCCACAAUCACGACUCUUGCUGAAACAUCCAUCACUAGUACACAGGAAACAUCUACAUCAACAGAGAGUUCCACAAUCACGAUUCCUGCGGAAACAUCUACAACAACAGAGGCUUCUACAAUCAUAACUCCUGAUGAAACAUUCACCACUAGUGCACCAGAAACAUCUACAACAACAGAGACUUCAACAAUGACAACUCCUGAUGAAACAUCCACCACUAGUGCACCAGAAACAUCUACAACAACAGAGACUUCCACAAUGACGACUCCUGAUAAAACAUCCACCACUAGUUUAACAGAAACAUCUACAACAACACAGACUUCCACAAUCACAACUCCUGCUGAAACAUUUACAACAACAGAGACUUCCACAAUCAUGACACCUGCUGAAACAUCCACCACUAGUUUAGCAGAAACAUCUACAAAAACACAGACUUUCACAAUCACGACACCUGAUAAAACAUCCACCACUAGUACACCGGAAACAUCUACAUCAACAGAGACUUCCACAAUCACGACUCCUGCGGAAACAUCUACAACAAGUGCAGCAGAAACACCUACAACAACAGAGACUUCCACAAUCAUGACUCCUGAUGAAACAUCCACCACUAGUGCACCAGAAAAAUCUACAACAUCAGAGACUUCCACAAUCACAACUCCUGAUGAAACAUCCACUACUAUUGCAGCAGAACCAUCAACAACAGAGACUUCCACAAUCAUGACACCAGAUAAAACAUCCACCACUAGUGCAAUAGAAAUAUCUACAAUAAAAGAGACUUCCACAAUGACGACUCCUGAUGAAACAUCCACCACUAGUUUAGCAGAAACAUCUAUUACAACAGAGACUUCCACAAUCACCACUCCUGAUGAAACAUCCACUACUAGUUUAUCAGAAACAUCUACAAAAACACAGACUUUCACAAUCACGACACCUGAUGAAACAUCUACCACUAGUGCAGUAGAAACAUCUACAACAACAGAGACUUCAACAAUCAUAACUCCUGCUGAAAUAUCCAUCACUAGUACACAGGAAACAUCUACAUCAACAGAGACUUCCACAAUCACAACUCCUGAUGAAACAUCCACCACUAGUUUAGCAGAAACAUCUAUAACAACAGAGACUUCCACAAUCACAACUCCAAAUGAAACAUCCACCACUAGUGCAGCAGAAACAUCAACAACAGAGACUUCCACAAUCAUGACUCCAGAUAAAACAUCCACCACUAGUGCAAUAGAAAUAUCUACAAUGUCAGAGACUUCCACAAUCACAACAGCUGAUGAAACAUCCAGCACUAAUGCACCAGAAACAUCUACAAUAACAGAGAUUUCCACAAUGACGACUCCUGAUGAAACAUCCACCACUAGUUUAUCAGAAACAUCUACAUCAACAGAGACUUACACAUUCACGACAACUGAUGAAAUAUCCACCACUAGUUUAGCAGAAACAUCUACAACAACAGAGACUUCCACAAUCACAACAAAACCUGACUCAUUAUAUACAACAUCAACAGGAAUUGCUGCUGCUUCUUCAGCUGAAAUGCCUGCUUUAACAACUACUACAAAUACAAUUCUUGCUAAUGUAGAGCUAAUAAAGAUGGAAUUCAGCUCUUCAGAGCCUUUUAUAGAUGAACUCAAAUAUUCAAGUUCUGAAGCUUUCAAAGACAGGGCUAAACGUGUUAAAGAUGUACUUGAACUCAUCUUCAAAAGCAAGUUUCCUUCAUUCUUAAAAGUUAAUGUCCUGAGAUUCAGACCUGGGUCAGUCAUAACAGAUACAGAAUUAGUCUUCAACAUGAAUAAAUCUGCACCAUCAGCUGAUGAGAUUAAAACCACAUUAAUGGAGAAAUCAAUUGUCAGUGCCCUGAAUAUUAUUGAUGGAACUAUCAUAAUUUAUGCAGAGACUUCCACAAUCACAACUCCUGAUGAAACAUCCACCACUAGUGCAGCAGAAACAUCUACAACAACAGAGACUUCCACAAUCACGACACCUGAUGAAACAUCCACCACUAGUGCACCAGAAACAUCUACAACAACAGAGACUUCCACAAUCACCACUCCUGAUGAAACAUCCACCACUAGUGCAAUAGAAACAUCUACAACAUCAGAGACUUCCACAAUCACAACUCCUGAUGAAACAUCCACCACUAGUUUAGCAGAACCAUCUAUAACAACAGAGACUUCCACAAUCAUGACUCCAGAUAAAACAUCCAUUACUAGUACACCAGAAACUAGUACAACAACAGAGACUUCCACAAUCACGACUCCUGAUGAAACAUCCACCACUAGUGCACCAGAAACAUCUACAACAACAGAGACUUCCACAAUCACGACUCCUGCUGAAACAUCCACCACUAGUUUAGCAGAAACAUCUACAAAAACACAGACUUUCACAAUCACGACACCUGAUGAAACAUCCACCACUAGUAUAUCAGAAACAUCUACAUCAACAGAGACUUACACAAUCAUGACUACUGAUGAAACAUCAACCACUAGCGCACCAGAAACAUCUACAAUGUCAGAGACUUCCACAAUCACGACACCUGAUGAAACAACCACCACUAGUGCACCAGAAACAUCUACAACAACAGAGACUUCCACAAUCAUGACUCCUGCUGAAGCAUCCACCACUAGUGUAAUAGAAAUAUCUACAACAUCAGAGACUUCCACAAUCAUGACUCCUGAUGAAACAUCCACCACUAGUACACCAGAAACAUCUACAUCAACAGAGACUUCCACAAUCAUGACUCCUGCUGAAACAUCCAUCACUACUGCACCAGAAACAUCUACAACAACAGAGACUUCCACAAUCACGACUCCUGCUGAAACAUCAAUUACUAGUACACCAGAAACAUCUACAUCAACAGAGACUUUCACAAUCACGACACCUGAUGAAACAUCCACCACUAGUUUAGCAGAAACAUCUACAACAACAGAGACUUCCACAAUCACAGCUCCUGCUGAAGCAUUUACAACAACAGAGACUUCCACAACCAUGACUCCUGAUGAAAUAUACACCACUAGUGUAGCAGAAACAUCUAAAUCAACAGAGACUUCCACAAUCAUGACUACUGAUGAAGCAUCCACCACUAGUGCACCAGAAACAUCUGCAACAUCAGAGACUUCCAUAAUCAUGACUCCUGAUGAAACAUCAACCACUAGCGCACCAGAAACAUCUACAACAACAGACACUUCCACAAAGACGACUCCUGAUGAAACAUUUACAACAACAGAGACUUCCACAAUCAUGUCUCCUGCUGAAGCAUCAACCACUAUUGCAGCAGAACCAUCAACAACAACAAAGACUUCCACAAUCAUGACUGCUGAUGAAACACCCACCACUAGUGGACCAGAAAUAUCUAGAACAACAGAGACUUCCACAAUCACGACUCCUGCUGAAACAUCUACCACAA